GAUGAAGAACGUAGCGAAAUGCGAUAAGUAAUGUGAAUUGCAGAAUUCAGUGAAUCAUCGAAUCUUUGAACGCACAUUGCGCCCGCCAGUAUUCUGGCGGGCAUGCCUGUCUGAGCGUCAUUUCAACCCUCAUGCCCCUAGGGCGUGGUGUUGGGGAUCGGCCAAAGCCCGCGAGGGACGGCCGGCCCCUAAAUCUAGUGGCGGACUCGUCGUGGCCUCCUCUGCGAAGUAGUGAUAUUCCGCAUCGGAGAGCGAUGAGCCCCUGCCGUUAAACCCCCAACUUUCCAAGGUUGACCUCAGAUCAGGUAGGAAUACCCGCUGAACUUAAGCAUAUCAAUAAGCGGAGGA
This 348-nucleotide unclassified non-coding RNA is filed under the name soil metagenome. Its description in RNAcentral is "partial contains 5.8S ribosomal RNA, internal transcribed spacer 2, and large subunit ribosomal RNA". The stretch from base 1 to 120 matches the Rfam family "5.8S ribosomal RNA", at positions 35 to 154 of the family's 154-position model. The record is from RNAcentral.